RNAcentral lists this ribosomal RNA (532 nucleotides) under uncultured bacterium. Its description in RNAcentral is "bacterial SSU rRNA". It matches the Rfam family "Bacterial small subunit ribosomal RNA", at positions 363 to 917 of the family's 1533-position model. The record is from RNAcentral.
CUUUACUGGGCGCAGCCUGAUCUAGCCAUGCCGCGUGAGUGAUGAAGGCCUUAGGGUCGUAAAGCUCUUUCGCCAGGGAUGAUAAUGACAGUACCUGGUAAAGAAACCCCGGCUAACUCCGUGCCAGCAGCCGCGGUAAUACGGAGGGGGUUAGCGUUGUUCGGAAUUACUGGGCGUAAAGCGCGCGUAGGCGGAUUAGUCAGUUAGAGGUGAAAUCCCAGGGCUCAACCCUGGAACUGCCUUUAAUACUGCUAGUCUUGAGUUCGAGAGAGGUGAGUGGAAUUCCGAGUGUAGAGGUGAAAUUCGUAGAUAUUCGGAGGAACACCAGUGGCGAAGGCGGCUCACUGGCUCGAUACUGACGCUGAGGUGCGAAAGUGUGGGGAGCAAACAGGAUUAGAUACCCUGGUAGUCCACACCGUAAACGAUGAAUGCCAGUCGUCGGGUAGUAUACUAUUCGGUGACACACCUAACGGAUUAAGCAUUCCGCCUGGGGAGUACGGUCGCAAGAUUAAAACUCAAAGGAAUUGACGGA